UGGGGAAUAUUGCACAAUGGGCGCAAGCCUGAUGCAGCCAUGCCGCGUGUGUGAAGAAGGUCUUCGGAUUGUAAAGCACUUUAAGUUGGGAGGAAGGGCAUUAACCUAAUACGUUAGUGUUUUGACGUUACCGACAGAAUAAGCACCGGCUAACUCUGUGCCAGCAGCCGCGGUAAUACAGAGGGUGCAAGCGUUAAUCGGAAUUACUGGGCGUAAAGCGCGCGUAGGUGGUUUGUUAAGUUGGAUGUGAAAUCCCCGGGCUCAACCUGGGAACUGCAUUCAAAACUGACUGACUAGAGUAUGGUAGAGGGUGGUGGAAUUUCCUGUGUAGCGGUGAAAUGCGUAGAUAUAGGAAGGAACACCAGUGGCGAAGGCGGCCCCCUGGACAAAGACUGACGCUCAGGUGCGAAAGCGUGGGGAGCAAACA
RNAcentral lists this ribosomal RNA (427 nucleotides) under uncultured bacterium. RNAcentral's name for it is "partial 16S ribosomal RNA". It matches the Rfam family "Bacterial small subunit ribosomal RNA", at positions 355 to 774 of the family's 1533-position model. The record is from RNAcentral.